RNAcentral lists this ribosomal RNA (267 nucleotides) under uncultured Staphylococcus sp. RNAcentral's name for it is "partial 16S ribosomal RNA". It matches the Rfam family "Bacterial small subunit ribosomal RNA", at positions 96 to 354 of the family's 1533-position model. The record is from RNAcentral. Lineage: Bacteria; Bacillati; Bacillota; Bacilli; Caryophanales; Staphylococcaceae.
CGGCGGACGGGUGGAGUAACACGUGGAUAACCUACCUAUAAGACUGGGAUAACUUCGGGAAACCGGAGCUAAUACCGGAUAAUAUAUUGAACCGCAUGGUUCAAUGGUGAAAGACGGUUUUGCUGUCACUUAUAGAUGGAUCCGCGCCGCAUUAGCUAGUUGGUAAGGUAACGGCUUACCAAGGCAACGAUGCGUAGCCGACCUGAGAGGGUGAUCGGCCACACUGGAACUGAGACACGGUCCAGACUCCUACGGGAGGCAGCAGGC